UUGUGGAGGAGGACGCCGAAGGUGGGGCUAAUGACUGGGGUGAAGUCGUAACAAGGUAGCCGUACCGAAAGGUGCGGCUGGAUCACCUCCUAACAGGGAGACAACAAAAUGUUUAUAUUAUUUUGUCACCUUAGGUCGAUCGGUAUCUCACGUUCUUAAUUUAUUAAGAAUUUCAUUUCCUAAGUUUUCUAGGUCACACCCAUUAUUUUUCCUGGGCCAUUAGCUCAGGUGGUUAGAGCGCACCCCUGAUAAGGGUGAGGUCCCUGGUUCAAGUCCAGGAUGGCCCAUAUCUCUAUGUUGGGGGUAUAGCUCAGUUGGUAGAGCGCCUGCUUUGCAAGCGGGAUGUCAGCGGUUCGAGUCCGCUUACCUCCACUGAUUACCACCUCUUCCAUAAUUUAUAGAUAAGGAAAUGUUUUGAGAUGUGAUCAACUUCUGAACGAAUCUAGCUUCCUAAUAAAAUUAUUAAGAUGCUGGACUCAUUGAAUUAAUUUCAUUGAAUUCAGAGAACCUUGACAACUGCAUAGAUUAUUUUUAAAGACAAUAAGCAUCUUUUAUGAUGCAGAUUUAUUAUUUGUGCAAAUGCAUUAAUAACAAUUCUAUUAAGCUGAUGCUUCAAUUUUGAAGUUAUUGGUCAAGCUACAA
RNAcentral lists this unclassified non-coding RNA (642 nucleotides) under uncultured Prochlorococcus sp. RNAcentral's name for it is "partial 16S-23S ribosomal RNA intergenic spacer; may also contain 16S ribosomal RNA and 23S ribosomal RNA". The stretch from base 1 to 93 matches the Rfam family "Bacterial small subunit ribosomal RNA", at positions 1441 to 1533 of the family's 1533-position model. The record is from RNAcentral. Lineage: Bacteria; Bacillati; Cyanobacteriota; Cyanophyceae; Synechococcales; Prochlorococcaceae.